GAUCAGGUAGGGAUACCCGCUGAACUUAAGCAUAUCAAUAAGCGGAGGAAAAGAAACCAACAGGGAUUGCCCUAGUAACGGCGAGUGAAGCGGCAACAGCUCAAAUUUGAAAUCUGGCGUCUUUGGCGUCCGAGUUGUAAUUUGCAGAGGGCGCUUUGGCAUUGGCAGCGGUCCAAGUUCCUUGGAACAGGACGUCACAGAGGGUGAGAAUCCCGUACGUGGUCGCUAGCCUUUACCGUGUAAAGCCCCUUCGACGAGUCGAGUUGUUUGGGAAUGCAGCUCUAAAUGGGAGGUAAAUUUCUUCUAAAGCUAAAUACUGGCCAGAGACCGAUAGCGCACAAGUAGAGUGAUCGAAAGAUGAAAAGCACUUUGGAAAGAGAGUUAAAAAGCACGUGAAAUUGUUGAAAGGGAAGCGCUUGCAGCCAGACUUGCCUGUAGUUGCUCAUCCGGGUUUCUACCCGGUGCACUCUUCUAUAGGCAGGCCAGCAUCAGUUUGGGCGGUUAGAUAAAGGUCUCUGUCAUGUACCUCCUCUCGGGGAGAACUUAUAGGGGAGACGACAUGUAACCAGCCCGGACUGAGGUCCGCGCAUCUGCUAGGAUGCUGGCGUAAUGGCUGUAAGCGGCCCGUCUUGAAACACGGACCAAGGAGUCUAACAUCUAUGCGAGUGUUUGGGUGUCAAGCCCGAGCGCGUAAUGAAAGUGAACGGAGGUGGGAACCUUUCGGGGUGCACCAUCGACCGAUCCUGAUGUCUUCGGAUGGAUUUGAGUAAGAGCAUAGCUGUUGGGACCCGAAAGAUGGUGAACUAUGCUUGAAUAGGGUGAAGCCAGAGGAAACUCUGGUGGAGGCUCGCAGCGGUUCUGACGUGCAAAUCGAUCGUCAAAUUUGGGCAUAGGGGCGAAAGACUAAUCGAACUAUCUGGUAGCUGGUUCCUG
This 933-nucleotide ribosomal RNA is filed under the name Epicoccum proteae. RNAcentral's name for it is "eukaryotic LSU rRNA". It matches the Rfam family "Eukaryotic large subunit ribosomal RNA", at positions 9 to 960 of the family's 3401-position model. Lineage: Eukaryota; Fungi; Ascomycota; Dothideomycetes; Pleosporales; Didymellaceae. The record is from RNAcentral.